This 2824-nucleotide long non-coding RNA is filed under the name Canis lupus familiaris (dog). Its description in RNAcentral is "lncRNA (ENSCAFG00845011633.1)". Lineage: Eukaryota; Metazoa; Chordata; Mammalia; Carnivora; Canidae. The record is from RNAcentral.
AGGAAAGACACAGGAAGGGGAGGAAAUGAAAGACAACAAGGCACGGUGCUAAUUGAUGGAGGAAGGUUUUAGGAGAAACGGAGGAGAUGGUGUCACUGAGGAAGACUUUAUGAGGGCAGUGACCGUGGUGUGGAAGGUGGUAAGUUUUACAGGCAAGGCACACAGUUGGUAGAAAGGUAGGGAGGUGUUAUAGGAAUAUAUUAAUCUUUAAGAAUAGAAUAUUUGUAGGAGUUAAAAAAAAUUAGGGGCACCUGAGUCGCUCAGUUGGUUAAAUGUCUGCCUUCAGCUCAGGCCAUGAUCCCGGGACCCUGGGAUCGAGCCUCAUGUUGGGCUCCCUGCUCGGUGGGGAGCCUACUUCUCCCUCUCCCUCUCCCUCUGCUACUCCCCCUGCUUGUGCUCUCUCCCUCUUUCUCUCUCUCCCAAAUAAAUAAAAUCUUUAAAAGAAAUUAGCAAACCAUUCCCUUCCACAGAAAGCAAUCUGCAAAAUCCCAUACUUACCAUAAUAUACAGUUAUAUUCAGUAGCAUUUUGGAGAUGUGUAUAUACAAGAACAGAACAUAUUAGUCAUUAUGUUUUCAUGCUAAAUUUUUAUUUCAAUGUUAUGCAACUGCAUAAGUAUAAAUAUUUGUUCAAUAUACAACAAUUAUGACAUCCAUAGGGAAUUUCUUAGAGAAAAUAAGACUGCAAACACUUUAUUGCACAGAUCCUAACAAACUUUUAAGCUGGUAAAUCUACAGCUGGGAGUAAUACCGAGGAGCACAUCUUACAAUCACAGGAGACUGACCAAAUAGAACACAGGAGAAUUUCUACCAGCUGAUUGGAGAGGUUUACAACAACAAACAGGUAUUACAUGAAUGCAACCUUAAGUACUCUUUACUCAUCCAAAAUGCAAAAACAUAUUUGGCAAAAAUGGUAAUACACUAUACAAAAUAUACAUAAAAAUAUCAUUUGUAAACAAGCAGCUAGUUGUGCUUUAAAGGAAACGGGACAGUUAAAAAGCAAAGGCUGUAAACCAUGAACUACCUCCCCGAUAGACCUGUCGUGAUGUCUGAGUACAGAGGAUGGGGUUAUGACAACCACCCAACACAGAUACGAAUUAUAAAUGUCGAGACCACUUUGGAAACCGAUUUAACUUUUUUUACGGUAUUUGUUUCUUCUGCAAUUUCACAAUGUAGUGAUGGGGUAUAGCUAAAAUCACAUGGGAAAAAAUCAUGGGCAAGGAGACUUUUUUUUUUUUUUUUUUUUUUUUUGCCAUUGCCAACUCAUUGUACAAUGAAGGACAACCAAGUAGAUGGUUAAGUUAUGUUUUUGUUUUUGGAGCAGAGCAGGGUUUACAGCCUCGCUAAAUAAUUUACACUCCACGGGCUGUGCUUAGAUGAACAAUUUUAUAGCUUGAAGAUACUAAGACCUCCGAGGGGGUUUGGGUGCUAAGUGAGUAUUUAUUGAUAAGUUUUUUCCCCUCUUAAAAAACAAAACUAAAAAAAUCCUGCUAUGGAUCCCAAACAUCUUAUAAAGACUUAUCUGUGUGUAUUUCCUCUUAGUGCCUUAGUACUGGUGUCAGCAAGUGUCAUCUUACAAUACAAAACAAGCCACCAGGACAACUGCAACAAAAACGAACAAAAAACCCCCCUCAGCACUAAAAUGAUUUGACGAAUUCUACAUAUUCCAUGGUAUACAAAAUUUAAAUAAGGCUUAGCAAAAGUAAAAAGGACACAUUCAAGCACCAAAUAGCUCCACCAAGUCUUUUUGUUAAAAAAUGCUGCUCUUUAUUAAUACAGUAUUUUUUUUGCAUACAAAUAAAGAGAUCAUGUUAUGUAAUGUAUGGAGCUACUCGAUGCGUCAGAAAUGAAUGUGAAACCCAGGAACUUGCUAAAAACAGCAAGCUUCAUCUACAACAUAAGGCCCCAGCUAUGUAUUAAAAUGUAUCUGAUGUCCUGAUUAUUCAUUAAUAUAUAUGCUAUGAUGCCAAAAUCCACCCCCGUUUUCCCUCAAAAAAAAAAAAAAAAAAAAAAAAGAAAAAAAAGCAAAUUUAAAACCUCUUCCAAUGCCUGACGCUUCUUAACUCAAUUUAAUACUAUCAGAUUUGUGUGCGGCCAGUGAUUUUUCCUUUUUGUUCAAGAGCAGGGCUGGUGCAAAACUACUACAAAAUGUGUGCUUCUGGACUAGUGACUCAUAGCAUACAGGCCUGAGUUUAAGAGCAUGAAAAGAAGGGAAAGUAACAAAAAUAAAGUUGACGUGUGUUUAUAGCCCCCACGACAGCCAGGGUGAAGACCCUGCACAUCCCCCCCUACGGACAAGGACAACGGGCCUUCCAGACAGUUGGACCCCGGAUCAGAACGUCCACUCGGAUGGCUGUGAAGUGAAAAUGGUUAGCUCCACUGGUUCCGGCCAUUCCUAACGGAGGAAGGUUCCAAACGCCACGAUCAGAGUAGCUCUCGCUCUAAGAUCUGGAAACACAGGUGGCCAGAUACAGCGACUAUCAAAAUCUCUCUUUAAAGACACACACACAGACUCACGAUCUACUGCAGCUAGGGCUUCCGUUCCUCUUUAACUCUACUCGGAAUCUUUUAACUUAGAAAAACGUAGCCUUGAAAUCUCCUCCUAGAUCACAGGCCAAAACAUGUGGCUGGAUGCGUAUAUACACAGACAGGAGUGUAGCCAGACUUUUCCAUUUUCCAUACACCCGAUUUUAACCGCUGUGGCUUCCUUACUAGGUUAGGAUCAAGUGGUAAAGCAAAAAUCUUAACUGGAAGAAAGAAAAGAAAAACACCCACCAAGAAAGAAAAGAAAGAAAGAAAUUAAGGAAAGAAAGAAAAAAAAAAAAA